RNAcentral lists this ribosomal RNA (440 nucleotides) under uncultured bacterium. RNAcentral's name for it is "partial 16S ribosomal RNA". It matches the Rfam family "Bacterial small subunit ribosomal RNA", at positions 338 to 795 of the family's 1533-position model. The record is from RNAcentral.
CCUACGGGUGGCAGCAGUGGGGAAUAUUGCACAAUGGGGGAAACCCUGAUGCAGCGACGCCGCGUGAGUGAAGAAGUAUUUCGGUACGUAAAGCUCUAUCAGCAGGGAAGAAAAUGACUGUACCUGACUAGGAAGCCCCUGCUAACUACGUGCCAGCAGCCGCGGUAAUACGGAGUGGGCAAGCGUUAUCCGGAUUGACUGGACGUAAAGGGAGCGUAGACGGCAGAGCAAGUCUGGAGUGAAAUCCCAUGGCUUAACCAGGGAACUGCUUUUGAAACUGUGCAGCUAGAGAGCAGGAGAGGUAAGCGGAAUUCCUAGUGGAGCGGUGAAAUGCGUAGAUAUUAGGAGGAACACCAGUGGCGAAGGCGGCUUACUGGAAUGUAACUGACGCUGAGGCUCGAAAGCGUGGGGAGCAAACAGGAUUAGAUACCCCUGUAGUC